CCUCAGCUCUGAUCCGAGCCUUCAGCUGACCCAACACACCUCGAGACUCCAGGCUCUCUCUCAGAGCUGGGAGAGAAGAUAAGCUGUUGAAAAUGGUAUCUUAAAAACCUCUGCAACUUGUGGGGACAUAUUGGUAACGUAGACUUAAGGGUGAUGCCUUUCAGUGCCCAGUCCAGGCCCUUGCGGUACUGCAGUCCAUAGUCUUGGAACUCUAUAGUGCCAGUCUGAGGCCACGCCAGAGGCAGGGAACUGCCCUCCACAGUCCACACAGCCUGGAAAGUGGAUGAGUUGAAGGAGGCGAUGGAGAUGGAGUAGAGGAUCUGGGACUUCUUCAGGGCCUUCAGUUCUUUCUCCCUGUAUCCCAGGACCUGCUCCAGAAAGGCCUUCUCCCAUGCAUAGAACUUCAGGAUCUUGAUCCC
This is a long non-coding RNA of Oncorhynchus keta (chum salmon), 419 nucleotides long. RefSeq lists it as uncharacterized. The transcript is spliced from 3 exons. NCBI's taxonomy places the organism in Eukaryota, Metazoa, Chordata, Actinopteri, Salmoniformes, Salmonidae. The record is from RefSeq and is a predicted model, not a curated record.